RNAcentral lists this non-coding RNA (183 nucleotides) under Palpitomonas bilix. The record is from RNAcentral.
UAUUCUUUUCUUUUAUUUUGGCCCCCGUUUUUACUUAUUCUUUUUGUAUUUUUGUAUAAUUUGUCAAAAAUAUGCGUUGGUUUACGCUUGCUCUUCCGCACUCCCAUCUGACGUUGAGAAAGGGAGUGCGAAGUGCACCUGUACAAUUGAUUUUUUUUUGAAAACAAAAAAAAACAAAAACAU